Molecule: long non-coding RNA, 847 nt
Filed under: Gossypium barbadense (sea-island cotton)
Lineage: Eukaryota; Viridiplantae; Streptophyta; Magnoliopsida; Malvales; Malvaceae
Description: long non-coding RNA (GBAR_LNC015175)
Source: RNAcentral
UGAUCAUGUUUCCUUGCUUGGAGCGGCUGGAGAUUACGAGGUGUCCCUUGUUGAAAAGUGUUCCACUAACGGGACAAUGCUCAUCUCUUCAAAAGCUUCACAUUUCCAGUUGUGAAAAAUUAAGCAAGAUUGGAGAUGGAUUAUCUACCUCCACUUGUCUCAAAAAAUUACAUCUAGGCAAUUGUCCUGAUUUAAGUUCGAUCCCAAAUUUGGAAGGAUUUUCCUCUCUUCAAGAUCUGUCAGUUUGUGGGUGCCUCAAAUUGGAAGUUCUUCCAAUAACUGGAGGAUGUUCAUCUCUUGAAGAGCUGGAGAUUACGAGGUGUCCCUUGUUGAAAAGUGUUCCACUAACGGGACAAUGCUCAUCUCUUCAAAAGCUUCACAUUUGGGAUUGUGAAAAAUUAAGCAAGAUUGGAGAUGGAUUAUCUACCUCCACUUGUCUCAAAAAAUUACAUCUAGGCAAUUGUCCUGAUUUAAGUUCGAUCCCAAAUUUGGAAGGAUUUUCCUCUCUUCAAGAUCUGUCAGUUUGGGGGUGCCUCAAAUUGGAAGUUCUUCCAAUAACGGGACAAUGUUAUUCUCUUGAAAAGCUUCGCAUUUGCGAUUGUGAAAAAUUAAGCAAGAUUGGAGAUGGAUUAUCUACCUCCACUUGUCUCAAAAAAUUAAAUCUAAUCAUUUGUCCUGAUUUAAGUUCGAUCCCAAAUUUGGAAGGAUUUUCCUCUCUUCAAUAUCUGUCAGUUCGAUGUUGCAAGAAAUUGGAAGUUCUUCCAAUAACCGGAGGAUGUUCAUCUCUUGAAAAGCUUCGCAUUUCCAGUUGUGAAAAAUUAAGCAAGAUUGGAGAUGGAUUAUCUAC